RNAcentral lists this ribosomal RNA (519 nucleotides) under uncultured bacterium. RNAcentral's name for it is "bacterial SSU rRNA". It matches the Rfam family "Bacterial small subunit ribosomal RNA", at positions 791 to 1315 of the family's 1533-position model. The record is from RNAcentral.
UAGUCCACGCCGUAAACGAUGAUUACUAGUUGUUUGUGAUACACAAUAAGCGACAAAGCGAAAGCAUUAAGUAAUCCACCUGGGGAGUACGUUGGCAACAAUGAAACUCAAAGGAAUUGACGGGGGCCCGCACAAGCGGUGGAACAUGUGGUUUAAUUCGAUGAUACGCGAGGAACCUUACCUGGGCUUAAAUGGGGAGUGACAGACUUAGAGAUAGGUUUUUCUUCGGACACUCUUCAAGGUGCUGCAUGGUUGUCGUCAGCUCGUGCCGUGAGGUGUCGGGUUAAGUCCCAUAACGAGCGCAACCCACGUCUUUAGUUACCAGCACGUCAUGGUGGGGACUCUAGAGAGACUGCCGGUGUAAACCGCGAGGAAGGUGUGGAUGACGUCAAAUCAGCACGGCCCUUACGUCCAGGGCUACACACGUGUUACAAUGGCCGGUACAGAGGGCAGCUACUAUGCAAAUAGAAUGCGAAUCUCGAAAACCGGUCUCAGUUCGGAUCGGAGUCUGCAACUCGA